GUGGGAAACAAGUGCAUCAUGAGAGUGCUAGGCUGUUCCCCUGGGUGGAGCUGUCUGAUCCUGAUAAAGGGAGUUUCCACACAGUAUUAGCUUCGUGAUACUCAGUCAUAGGUCUUCUUUGGAGCCUCUGAUUCCUUGAGACCCAGGAAGGAUGUCUCACCACCAUCACCCACAUCCGCAUCAGCAUCAGCAGCAUCACCAUCAGGUCAAGGAGCCCUGCCAUCCUCCUCCAAAAGUGUGCCCACAGAAGUCCCAUGAGCCUUGCCCACCGCAUCCAUGCCCACCUCCAGUGAACCAGCAGAAAUGCCCUCCUGGGCCACCAUGCCCACCAUGGGAGCAGAAGUGUCCACCCAAGUGGAAGUAACAGCACCAAGAUCCAGGCUCUUCCCUUCCAUGUCCUCCCUUUGGCCAUGGUGAUGAUUGCAUCUUCCUUAAUCUCCCUCCUGCACUGACAGGCAACAGAGAAAAGGCUUGGUUCCUGAAGCUGACACCACGUGCUUGGAAGAAGAGCAGCAGGAUCAUUGCCUGAUAUCUCUUUGCUAUGUGCUUGUCUGCCAGGUGUGAUCUCUACCCUGUGAGCACCUGGUGUGUCUAUUCCUUUGCUUCUCCAAUAAAGCACAUUCAUACUUGAA
Molecule: long non-coding RNA, 632 nt
Organism: Cervus elaphus (red deer)
Lineage: Eukaryota; Metazoa; Chordata; Mammalia; Artiodactyla; Cervidae
Exons: 2
Source: RefSeq, a predicted model, not a curated record